This 254-nucleotide ribosomal RNA is filed under the name uncultured bacterium. RNAcentral describes it as "partial 16S ribosomal RNA". It matches the Rfam family "Bacterial small subunit ribosomal RNA", at positions 524 to 776 of the family's 1533-position model. The record is from RNAcentral.
UACGGGGGGAGCAAGCGUUGUUCGGAUUUACUGGGCGUAAAGGGCGCGUAGGCGGUCAGCACAAGUCAGUUGUGAAAUCUCCGGGCUUAACCCGGAAAGGUCAACUGAUACUGUGCGACUAGAGUGCGGAAGGGGCAACUGGAAUUCUCGGUGUAGCGGUGAAAUGCGUAGAUAUCUGGAGGAACACCGGUGGCGAAGGCGGGAUCCUGGACCAACACUGACGCUGAGGAGCGAAAGCCAGGGGAGCGAACGGG